UUAAAAACUCCCAGCAGCCCUGCAAGAGCCUUCAGCCAGCGAGUCCGCGGCCAGCCGCGCGGUGCUCCCCACGGCUCAGCGUGCAAACAAUGCCAGGAGCGCAGGGAGGAGCGGGAGUGCGGCUGCGGUUUGCGCCUUUUCAUCGGCCGGCCCUGGCAGGGAGACCCUCGCCCUCAGCUCGCCUCUGAAAUUCCUCUCUGCUCUCCUGUUCCUGGCCAAGCCCUUGCAACUUAGUUCUGGGAUGAACCCCAAGGCCUGCCACGCUGAAGAGUGCUCCUGAGUCAUACCCUACGCCCAUACGUCUAGCACACCAGGCAAGCAUGGACCAUGAACCUGCUUUUCACUGAAGUCCCAUAAUCCAGUUUUGUUAAGACCUUCAAUUUUCUUCUUUUGAAGCACUUUUCAGUUCAAUUUGUUCACGCCAGGAAUCCUGUGG
RNAcentral lists this long non-coding RNA (436 nucleotides) under Mus musculus (house mouse). RNAcentral's name for it is "predicted gene, 48162". The record is from RNAcentral. Lineage: Eukaryota; Metazoa; Chordata; Mammalia; Rodentia; Muridae.